CAAGACCUAGCAAUGCAAUGUCCUAACAGAUUUCUCAAGCGAGCAAGAACUGCCACCAAUUCCUAAGGGCUCAAUCUCGUAGGUGAUUCGAGAAGGUGCACACUGCUGCACCUGCGUGCAGAUCAGAAGACAGCUCCGGCAGUCAGAUUUCCCCCCCUGCCCCGGGUGCCACAGGAAGUCAGACCCAGGAAAUCAGGAUGGCACAAGAACCACCUGCUGAGCCACCUUGCUGGCCCUUAUUUUUAAAACAAAGAAAAAUAAUCACUAUCAAAUGAGGCCUAGAGUCUUUCUCAAGAUCUUCGUAUGUGGAACCUAAACCCAAACAACCAAAUAAGAUUUUGUGUCAACUAAUGAUUUCAUAAAGGAAUUAAAAGAUCAGCAAUGAUUAUGCUAAGUCUUGAAAUAAGUAAAUAUUUAAUAAAACACCUUGGAGCAAUA
Molecule: long non-coding RNA, 438 nt
Organism: Mastomys coucha (southern multimammate mouse)
Lineage: Eukaryota; Metazoa; Chordata; Mammalia; Rodentia; Muridae
Exons: 3
Source: RefSeq, a predicted model, not a curated record